CUCUGUCUCAAACACAAAAACAAAAAAUCAAAAAAGGGUAGCAGACUGCUGAAGGCUGGUUUGCAUUGACAUGCAGUUACCCUGAGUCUCUUGCUGGGCAGGUGUGUUCACGCUGCCUUCACUUGCUGUGGGUUCACGACCCAGGGGGUGGCGGGCUUAGGCCCUAUCGGCUGGGAGCCAGACCCCCAUUCUGACUGGGAGCCGUUGGAAUGGGAGCUGUAGGAGGUGGAGAGGUUCUCCCUGGGCCCUCAGCUUGAAGCAGGGCCUCAUGCCCUGGCACCCCAGGCCAUGCCCCCUUGGUGCUGGGCAUCCUGCCGCUGUUAUUCCUUCUUACCCGUUGUCAGGGGCACAGCGUCAGGUAUUCAGAUCCCCUGGGACCACUGGUCCCUUCACUAGUGACGUAUUUCAUCAUCAGUUUAGAGAGUUUGGCAUGCUUAGGAGAGUUCUAGGUGUUAGCUUUCUGGGUGUACAGAGCAGCUCUAAGCUGGCAAUAAGGACAGGUUGCCCUUGCCAUCAAAGAGAAGAGGGCUGGGCCCUCCAUGAUUUAACCUGAGGCUCUUCAAACAUCCAUUCUGCUUCCAUGCAUGGCUUCUGCCCCGGCACCCUGAAACGACAGAAAAAAACAAUCCGAUUCCAGAAAAUUCAGAGGCAAAUGGAGGCACCUGGUGCCCCACCCAGAAUCCUGGGAAGCUGUGGAGCAGAUCCGAUAUUUAUAUGAGGAAUUUCCAGAGUCCUGACCAGUUCCCAGGUUGGCUGAAGGCUUUGAUGUCAGCACUGAUGUGAUCCAAAGAGUUUUAAAUGGCAAGUUUGUACCCACAUUGGAGCAGACACUGAAGCAGGAUCAAAAAGUCCUUAAGAAAGCUGGGCUUGCCUAUUCGCUCCAGCAGCUCCCGGGCUCUGGAAAUAUGUCAAAGCCGCUCCCUGCAGGCCACUCUGUAUCAGGCUCUUUGCUUAUGCCCAGGCAUGAAGCCUCAUCCAAAGACCCUAAUCACAGCACAGCUUUGAAAAAAGUGAUAGAGUCAGACCCUCACAGGACAAAUACACCAAGGAGAUGGAAGGGAAGAAAUAAAGAAAUCCAGGACCUGGAGGAGAGGGUGUGCCUGUUGCUGCACCCCUAGGUCAUCAGCGAGAGCUGCAGAAGUUCUCCAGUGAUGCUGGGAGCACCAGAAGAACCGGCGAUGCUGCGUUGCCAAGUGAGCAGAAGCUGGAGGAGUUGGAGGCAGAGGAACCAGGUAACUUCAGCAGCCAAGUAGCGCAGAGGGGCCGAGAGUUCUUUGACAGCAACGGGAACUUCCUGUACGGAAUCUGAGUCUGGGAUUGGCUUGUGGAGAUGCCUCGUGAAACACAGCUGGGCGAGUAUUAAUAUAUAUGGAGCAGCCUGGAUUUCUGCAUAUGGAUGAGUCCCCUUGGAACAGGAAGAAGUGAUGAGCCUGGACCGUGGGAGGAAAGAGCGGCGUGGGUAGCUUCAGACUUCCUGGAGCAGUGCUCCCAGUCUGACCUCUGUAGAUCUGCGGCACUCACUCUUCUUGCUUGGGCUCUCUGUAUGUUGAAAACCAGCCCGUGUUGCAUGUGUUGUUACAAUUUUUCGUGAUACUUGCAAUAUAUGUUUGAGAGGAAGUGAAAAGUUUGUCUUCCGAGCUCGUUUCCUUCUUGAUCGGUGAACACUAACAGUUUUGGGACAACUUAGUUGAUUGGUUUUCCUUACAAGCGAAAUAAAGGAAAAUGUAGCAGUC
Non-coding RNA from Macaca mulatta (Rhesus monkey), 1733 nucleotides. The record is from RefSeq and is a predicted model, not a curated record. Lineage: Eukaryota; Metazoa; Chordata; Mammalia; Primates; Cercopithecidae.